UAGUUCACCAAGACACAGAAAAGAUGCUCAGUACCUAUUGUGAGUUACACAAUGAGAAGACAAGUACUCUUCAGACUACCCUUGAAUCAGGGCAAAGGGCCCUGGAUAUGGAUGGGAGAUAGAGUGAGCCUGGCACCAUUUCAAAUCCUGCCUAAGAGUCUAUGUGAAGUGGACGGCAGGAAAACCAGAGGCUGGGGGAGAGCAGCAGCUGGAGGAAAGUGUACUGCCUGCAUCACAGGAAGUUCAGAAGUACCAUAUAACUC
This is a long non-coding RNA of Galeopterus variegatus (Sunda flying lemur), 263 nucleotides long. RefSeq lists it as uncharacterized. The transcript is spliced from 3 exons. The record is from RefSeq and is a predicted model, not a curated record. Lineage: Eukaryota; Metazoa; Chordata; Mammalia; Dermoptera; Cynocephalidae.